Molecule: long non-coding RNA, 206 nt
Filed under: Capsella rubella
Lineage: Eukaryota; Viridiplantae; Streptophyta; Magnoliopsida; Brassicales; Brassicaceae
Description: long non-coding RNA (CRUB_LNC000650)
Source: RNAcentral
UGAUCUAGGCACAGAUUAUCUCAAGUUUCAGAUCUGACCACCUAUGAUGGAGACAUUAAACCGACGAUCAGCUGAACUCGGAAUGAGAUGCAAUUUGGUAGAGAUACACCAGACAUGUGAAACUAGAUUCCAGUUUAAGGGUAAUGGAUUUAGAGUCCAGGAACAUAGUUGAACGAUGACUUUUCAGAACAGUUGUUUCAGAGUUU